RNAcentral lists this ribosomal RNA (465 nucleotides) under uncultured bacterium. Its description in RNAcentral is "partial 16S ribosomal RNA". It matches the Rfam family "Bacterial small subunit ribosomal RNA", at positions 28 to 507 of the family's 1533-position model. The record is from RNAcentral.
GAUGAACGCUGGCGGCGUGCUUAACACAUGCAAGUCGAACGGAAAGGCUCCUGCUUGCAGGGGUACUCGAGUGGCGAACGGGUGAGUAACACGUGGGUGAUCUGCCCUGCACUUCGGGAUAAGCCUGGGAAACUGGGUCUAAUACUGGAUAGGACGAUGGUUUGGAUGCCAUUGUGGAAAGUUUUUCGGUGUGGGAUGAGCUCGCGGCCUAUCAGCUUGUUGGUGGGGUAAUGGCCUACCAAGGCGUCGACGGGUAGCCGGCCUGAGAGGGUGUACGGCCACAUUGCGACUGAGAUACGGCCCAGACUCCUACGGGAGGCAGCAGUGGGGAAUAUUGCACAAUGGGGGCGAGCCUGAUGCAGCGACGCCGCGUGGGGGAUGACGGCCUUCGGGUUGUAAACUCCUUUCGCUAGGGACGAAGCGCAAGUGACGGUACCUGGAGAAGAAGCACCGGCUAACUACGUG